Molecule: long non-coding RNA, 1363 nt
Organism: Carassius auratus (goldfish)
Lineage: Eukaryota; Metazoa; Chordata; Actinopteri; Cypriniformes; Cyprinidae
Exons: 5
Source: RefSeq, a predicted model, not a curated record
CUGGGCAUCACAAGCUUUAAAAAUAAAAUUGGACAAAUGAAUGUUGCUUUUCAGCUUUCUGUUUUCAGAUUAGUUUUUCUUUCCCUCUGUGUGUGUGUUUGUGUGUGUGUGAGCACUGUGUGUAUGUCUAGGUGCAGUUUUUCCUCUCCGCCGAAUGUUGAAGGCUAUACUACUUGUGAUUGAUGCAUUUCUGUCACACCAAGAGUCUCAUUUUCUCAUCAGUCCUUACGGAGUUGAAACCGCAGGUCUUUAUAUUAUGCUGAGAGAGCGGGUCAGGGCUGUCCACUCAAACUUUGGAGAAGUUUGAGUCUCAAGAGAUCAUCUCCAGUGAAUUAGCCGCUUUUGACCAGAGUCAAAGUUCCUUUCUCCUCUUUGUUGUCUGAAGGCGAUAAGAAGAACAGAGCAGUGGACAGGGUCAGGAUUUGAUCGGUUUUUGUGAAUUCAUAAUCCAGCCCUGAUUGCUCAUUGGAAAUGCAAGCGCUCAAGAUAUAACUGCAAUACGGCCCUGCAGGGAAAUAACAUGCAUGCAUGGACAAAUACCUACGGUCAUAUCUCUUUCUAACUGUGGUGACAACACUUGAUGGCCUGGACACAACGAGAAAAAGCCCCACUAUUGCAUUCAGCUGUGACUCUGUGUUUCCCAGCAUGCCGGAGGUGCAAUACCCAAUGAGUGACAUCAUUAAUUACAUGCCUCUGACUUCUGAAAUGCCAGCUGAGGAGGGAGGCAUACAUUUCAUCUGCAGACUGUUCCAAAAAUUGUCUUUCAAGCCAGACUGACAGCACGCAUUCCAAUCACAGGCUCACCCAGGUCUGAAAUUGCAGUUCGUUCACCAGCUGUGAUGCACUGAGUGAGUCUUAAUGUGUUCUGUGUGUAAGCUCACUGAGAUAAAUUAAUUCCAUGACAUGAUAUAUGACAAGGAUCUGUAAUAAUUUACAGUAUUUAAAUGGUAAAGCUCGGGGGCAUACUGAAUAAUGGUUCGAAUGGAAUAGCAAAGUAGUCUUUUAAUAGGAUUUUGACCUGAGGUUAUUGUGGCCAGAGUUUUUUGUUGCACAAGAUUAUUGACCACCUAAUGAGUUUCUACAUAUUAAAGCAAUAAGCCACAAGAGGCCGUGCAUAGCAAUGAUUUCACCACAGUUAAGUGGGUUUUAUUCAUGAUGUGAAUCAGACCUCCAUUUACAAAAUGGCAACGGCAAUGUGAUCUCAUAAAUAUAUGUAGAUAUUCAUGUAUUUAUGCACGUAAAUACAUCAUGCACUUUCAGCCUUUAAAAUGUAGGCAUGUUUCAAAUUGUAAACAAAAGUUUACACAUAAUGUUAGGAUCUUAGAAUGAUGACUACAUAAAAUGAAUAGGUUGGUUUUUAUUU